UUGUAAGUGUUUAAGGGCGCAUGGUGGAUGCCUUGGCACUGGGAGCCGAUGAAGGACGUUGGAGGCUGCGAUAUGCCUCGGGGAGCUGCCAACCGAGCGUUGAUCCGAGGAUGUCCGAAUGGGGAAACCCGGCACGAGUGAUGUCGUGUCACCCUGCACUGAAUACAUAGGUGUAGGGAGGGAACGCGGGGAAGUGAAACAUCUCAGUACCCGUAGGAAGAGAAAACAAAAUGUGAUUCCGUGAGUAGUGGCGAGCGAAAGCGGAGGAUGGCUAAACCGUAUGCAUGUGAUACCGGGUAGGGGUUGUGUGUGCGGGGUUGUGGGACCUGUUUUUCCAGUUCUACCUGGCUGGAGGGUAGUGAGAAAAUGUCGUGGUUAGCGGAAGUGGUUUGGGAUGACCUGCCGUAGACGGUGAGAGCCCGGUACGUGAAAACCUGACAUCUACCUUGAACGGUGUUCCCGAGUAGCAGCGGGCCCGUGAAAUCUGCUGUGAAUCUGCCGGGACCACCCGGUAAGCCUGAAUACUUCCCAGUGACCGAUAGCGGAUUAGUACCGUGAGGGAAUGGUGAAAAGUACCCCGGGAGGGGAGUGAAAUAGUACCUGAAACCGUGCGCUUACAAUCCGUCAGAGCCUUCGACUUUGUCGUGGGGUGAUGGCGUGCCUUUUGAAGAAUGAGCCUGCGAGUCAGGGACAUGUCGCGAGGUUAACCCGUGUGGGGUAGCCGCAGCGAAAGCGAGUCUGAAUAGGGCGUAUCCAAUCCGUAGGGGUUGGUGUAGUGGUGUGUUCUGGACCCGAAGCGGAGUGAUCUACCCAUGGCCAGGGUGAAGCGCGGGUAAGACCGCGUGGAGGCCCGAACCCACUUAGGUUGAAGACUGAGGGGAUGAGCUGUGGGUAGGGGUGAAAGGCCAAUCAAACUCCGUGAUAGCUGGUUCUCCCCGAAAUGCAUUUAGGUGCAGCGUCACAUGUUUCUUGUUGGAGGUAGAGCUACUGGAUGGCCGAUGGGCCCCACAGGGUUACUGACGUCAGCCAAACUCCGAAUGCCGACAAGUCCAAGAGUGUGGCAGUGAGACGGCGGGGGAUAAGCUCCGUGCGUCGAGAGGGAAACAGCCCAGAUCGCCGGCUAAGGCCCCUAAGCGUGUACUAAGUGGAAAAGGAUGUGCAGUCGCGAAGACAACCAGGAGGUUGGCUUAGAAGCAGCCACCCUUGAAAGAGUGCGUAAUAGCUCACUGGUCAAGUGAUUGUGCGCCGAUAAUGUAGCGGGGCUCAAGUACACCGCCGAAGCCGCGGCAACGAUUUAUCGUUGGGUAGGGGAGCGUCCUGCAUCCGGUGAAGCAGCAGAGUGAUCUAGCUGUGGAGGGUGUGGGAGUGAGAAUGCAGGCAUGAGUAGCGAAUAGGCAAGUGAGAACCUUGCCCGCCGAAAGACCAAGGGUUCCUGGGCCAGGCCAGUCCUCCCAGGGUGAGUCGGGACCUAAGGCGAGGCCGACAGGCGUAGUCGAUGGACAACGGGUUGAUAUUCCCGUACCCGUGUAUGUGCGUCCCUGAUGAAUCCAUUGUGCUAACCAUCCAAAACCGUCGUGACUGAUCCCUUCGGGGUGAGGCGUUGACGGGGCUGCGUGGGACCCCGGUGGGUAGUAGUCAAGCGAUGGGGUGACGCAGGAAGGUAGCCGUACCAGUCAGUGGUUGUACUGGGGUAAGCCUGUAGGGAGAAACGUAGGCAAAUCCGCGUUUCACAUAUCCUGAGAGGUGAUGCAUAGCCGUUUGAGGCGAAUUCGGUGAUCCUAUGCUGCCAAGAAAAGCCUCUAGCGAGGACAUACACGGCCCGUACCCCAAACCAACACAGGUGGUCAGGUAGAGAAUACUAAGGCGUACGAGUGAACUAUGGUUAAGGAACUCGGCAAAAUGCCCCCGUAACUUCGGGAGAAGGGGGACCCCCAUAUCGUCAAGGCUCUUGCGGCCGGCAGCGGGAGGGGGUGGCACAAACCAGUGAGAAGCGACUGUUUACUAAAAACACAGGUCCGUGCGAAGUCGCAAGACGAUGUAUACGGACUGACGCCUGCCCGGUGCUGGAAGGUUAAGAGGACCUGUUAACCCUUCGGGGUGAAGCAGAGAAUUUAAGCCCCAGUAAACGGCGGUGGUAACUAUAACCAUCCUAAGGUAGCGAAAUUCCUUGUCGGGUAAGUUCCGACCUGCACGAAUGGCGUAACGACUUCUCAACUGUCUCAACCAUAGACUCGGCGAAAUUGCACUACGAGUAAAGAUGCUCGUUACGCGCGGCAGGACGAAAAGACCCCGGGACCUUCACUACAACUUGGUAUUGGUGCUCGAUACGGUUUGUGUAGGAUAGGUGGGAGACUGUGAAGCAGCCACGCCAGUGGUUGUGGAGUCGUUGUUGAAAUACCACUCUGAUCGUAUUGGGCCUCUAACCUCGGACCGUAUAUCCGGUUCAGGGACAGUGCCUGGUGGGUAGUUUAACUGGGGCGGUUGCCUCCCAAAAUGUAACGGAGGCGCCCAAAGGUUCCCUCAACCUGGACGGCAAUCAGGUGUUGAGUGUAAGUGCACAAGGGAGCUUGACUGCGAGACGUACAUGUCGAGCAGGGACGAAAGUCGGGACUAGUGAUCCGGCACCUCUGAGUGGAAGGGGUGUCGCUCAACGGAUAAAAGGUACCCCGGGGAUAACAGGCUGAUCUUCCCCAAGAGUCCAUAUCGACGGGAUGGUUUGGCACCUCGAUGUCGGCUCGUCGCAUCCUGGGGCUGGAGCAGGUCCCAAGGGUUGGGCUGUUCGCCCAUUAAAGCGGCACGCGAGCUGGGUUUAGAACGUCGUGAGACAGUUCGGUCUCUAUCCGCCGCGCGCGUCAGAAGCUUGAGGAAAUCUGUCCCUAGUACGAGAGGACCGGGACGGACGAACCUCUGGUAUACCAGUUGUUCCACCAGGAGCACCGCUGGAUAGCCACGUUCGGACAGGAUAACCGCUGAAAGCAUCUAAGCGGGAAACCCCCUCCAAGACCAGGCUUCUCACCCUUUUAGAGGGAUAAGGCCCCCCGCAGACCACGGGAUUGAUAGACCAGACCUGGAAGCCUAGUAAUAGGUGCAGGGAACUGGCACUAACCGGCCGAAAACUUACAACAACCAACAAACACCAAAGUUUGAUGAGUUCCGUAAGAC
This 3162-nucleotide ribosomal RNA is filed under the name Mycolicibacterium fortuitum. RNAcentral describes it as "bacterial LSU rRNA". It matches the Rfam family "Bacterial large subunit ribosomal RNA". The record is from RNAcentral. Lineage: Bacteria; Bacillati; Actinomycetota; Actinomycetes; Mycobacteriales; Mycobacteriaceae.